Molecule: ribosomal RNA, 207 nt
Filed under: uncultured bacterium
Lineage: Bacteria
Description: partial 16S ribosomal RNA
Rfam family: Bacterial small subunit ribosomal RNA
Source: RNAcentral
CGUGUAGGCGGAGAUGCAAGUCAGGUGUGAAAUCCCGGGGCUCAACCCCGGAACUGCACUUGAAACUGUAUCCCUUGAGUAUCGGAGAGGCAAGCGGAAUUCCUAGUGUAGCGGUGAAAUGCGUAGAUAUUAGGAGGAACACCAGUGGCGAAGGCGGCUUGCUGGACGACAACUGACGCUGAGGCGCGAAAGCGUGGGGAGCAAACA